GGAGGCAAGCCAGGCGCCGGGGGGGGGGCCCCCCCCCCCCCUCCGGUAACCGGGGAGGGGAUGGCGGAGAGAUGGGGGGGGGGCGGCUUUGUUCGGGGCUCGGCCGGGCGCGUGCCUGUGCGCGUCCGCGUGCCCCCGUGCGUGUGCCCGAGCCGCCGGCUGUGCGCACACGCGUGUGCCCCAGGGAUGGGUGCGACCCCNNNNNNNNNNCACACCCCGCGUGGCCUCGUGCCCAUCUGGGUGUGGGUGCCGUGCGCAGGGUGAGGGUGCAGGGUACCCAGCUGGCAGCCCCUGCCCUGCCUGGGGCACGGCUCUGACAGCCCCGAGACCACCGUUGUGCUCUGCAGCCCCCCAGACCCUCAGCACCCACAAAGGUGCCGCUGCCAGGGGUCAAGGAUUGGGUGGGCACGGAGAGGAGGGGGCUGGUGGUGCCCCCAGGGUGGCUGCAGCCUGCCCGCGUGCCUGGCCCAAACGGGUGCCCUCGCCCCACGCCGUGCCGAGCAGCCCCGGUGCUCUGCCAGGCACCCAUGGAUGCUCUCGAGAUGCUCUCCCUCCGCAGGGUCUCCAGGCCACGUCCCCGCAGCCCCGGGAGCUGCAGCAGCACCUGAAUCCCGCUCCUGGCUCAACCACGCCGGGGGAAGGCUGGCGUUUGUGGAUUAGCAU
Molecule: long non-coding RNA, 663 nt
Filed under: Anas zonorhyncha (Eastern spot-billed duck)
Lineage: Eukaryota; Metazoa; Chordata; Aves; Anseriformes; Anatidae
Description: lncRNA (ENSAZOG00000013582.1)
Source: RNAcentral